Molecule: ribosomal RNA, 253 nt
Filed under: uncultured bacterium
Lineage: Bacteria
Description: partial 16S ribosomal RNA
Rfam family: Bacterial small subunit ribosomal RNA
Source: RNAcentral
GACGUAGGAGGCGAGCGUUGUCCGGAGUUACUGGGCGUAAAGCGCGCGCAGGCGGCCCUGCGCGCUGCCGGUGAAAGCUCCCGGCUCACCUGGGAGAGGUUCGGCAGGACGGCAGGGCUGGAGGGCGGUAGAGGGUGGUGGAAUUCCCGGUGUAGUGGUGAAAUGCGUAGAGAUCGGGAGGAACACCCGUAGCGAAGGCGGCCACCUGGGCCGACCCUGACGCUGAUGCGCGAAGGCCAGGGGAGCGAACGGG